Molecule: ribosomal RNA, 282 nt
Filed under: uncultured Bacteroides sp.
Lineage: Bacteria; Pseudomonadati; Bacteroidota; Bacteroidia; Bacteroidales; Bacteroidaceae
Description: partial 16S ribosomal RNA
Rfam family: Bacterial small subunit ribosomal RNA
Source: RNAcentral
AGGGGCAGCAUGAACUUAGCUUGCUAAGUUUGAUGGCGACCGGCGCACGGGUGAGUAACGCGUAUCCAACCUUCCGUACACUCAGGGAUAGCCUUUCGAAAGAAAGAUUAAUACCCGAUGGCAUAGUUCUUCCGCAUGGUAGAACUAUUAAAGAAUUUCGGUCAUCGAUGGGGAUGCGUUCCAUUAGGUUGUUGGCGGGGUAACGGCCCACCAAGCCUUCGAUGGAUAGGGGUUCUGAGAGGGUGAUCGGCCACAUUGGGACUGAGACACGGCCCAAACUCC